ACCUAGUAGUAUGGGAUAGCCACUAGAAAUGGUGGGUAAUACUGUAUAAUCCCUGCGGGGGAAAGAUUUAUCGCUAUUAGAUGAGCCUAUGUCAGAUUAGCUAGUUGGUGGGGUAAUGGCCUACCAAGGCGGUGAUCUGUAGCUGGUCUGAGAGGAUGAUCAGCCACACUGGAACUGAGACACGGUCCAGACUCCUACGGGAGGCAGCAGUGGGGAAUAUUGGACAAUGGGCGCAAGCCUGAUCCAGCUAUGCCGCGUGAGUGAGGAAGGCCUUAGGGUUGUAAAACUCUUUCAGUAGGGAAGAUAAUGACGGUACCUACAGAAGAAGUCCCGGCAAACUCCGUGCCAGCAGCCGCGGUAAUACGGAGGGGGCAAGCGUUGUUCGGAAUUAUUGGGCGUAAAGGGCAUGUAGGCGGUUUGGUAAGUUAAAGGUGAAAUACCAGGGCUUAACCCUGGAGCUGCUUUUAAUACUGCCGGACUAGAGUCCGGAAGAGGAUAG
This 499-nucleotide ribosomal RNA is filed under the name uncultured Anaplasma sp. RNAcentral's name for it is "bacterial SSU rRNA". It matches the Rfam family "Bacterial small subunit ribosomal RNA", at positions 128 to 661 of the family's 1533-position model. The record is from RNAcentral. Lineage: Bacteria; Pseudomonadati; Pseudomonadota; Alphaproteobacteria; Rickettsiales; Anaplasmataceae.